GAUCUUGGUGGUAGUAGCAAAUACUCAAAUGAGAACUUUGAGGACUGAAGUGGGGAAAGGUUCCGUGUGAACAGCAGUUGGACACGGGUUAGUCGAUCCUAAGCCAUAGGGAAACUCCGUUUUAAAGUGCAUGAUUAUCCAUGCCGCCCAUCGAAAGGGAAUCCGGUUAAGAUUCCGGAACCAGGACAUGGAUCUUUGACGGUAACGUAAAUGAAGUUGGUGACGCUGGCUAGGGCCCUGGGAAGAGUUAUCUUUUCUCCUUGACUGUCUAUAACCUUGAAAUCGGAUUAUCCGGAGCUAAGGUUCAAUGGCAGGCAAAGUGCAACACUUUCGUUGCAUCCGGUGCGUCCUAGACAGUCCUUGAAAAACCGACGGAACGUAUUACUCUCAUGCCUGGUCGUACUCAUAACCGCAGCAGGUCUCCAAGGUGAACAGCCUCUAGUUGAUAGAACAAUGUAGAUAAGGGAAGUCGGCAA
RNAcentral lists this ribosomal RNA (476 nucleotides) under Astrosyne radiata. RNAcentral's name for it is "partial Eukaryotic large subunit ribosomal RNA". It matches the Rfam family "Eukaryotic large subunit ribosomal RNA", at positions 1447 to 1920 of the family's 3401-position model. The record is from RNAcentral. Lineage: Eukaryota; Bacillariophyta; Fragilariophyceae; Cyclophorales; Cyclophoraceae.